This 459-nucleotide ribosomal RNA is filed under the name uncultured bacterium. Its description in RNAcentral is "partial 16S ribosomal RNA". It matches the Rfam family "Bacterial small subunit ribosomal RNA", at positions 30 to 507 of the family's 1533-position model. The record is from RNAcentral.
AGCGAACGCUGGCGGCAGGCCUAACACAUGCAAGUCGAACGAACUCUUCGGAGUUAGUGGCGGACGGGUGAGUAACACGUGGGAACGUGCCUUUUGGUUCGGAAUAACUCAGGGAAACUUGUGCUAAUACCGAAUGUGCCCUUCGGGGGAAAGAUUUAUCGCCAUUAGAGCGGCCCGCGUCGGAUGAGCUAGUGUGUGAGGUAACGGCUCACCAAGGCGACGAUCCGUAGCUGGUCGGAGAGGGGGACAAGCAACCGUGGGACGGGGACCCGGCCCAGACGCCUAGGGGAGGCAGCAGGAGGGAAGCCUCGGCAAGAGACGAAAGGCUGACCGAGAAACGCCGAGGGAGGGAAGAAGGGUGUCGGAUCGUAAAAAUCGGUUGGUAGAGAAGAACGUUGGUGCGAGUGGAAAGCUCAUCAAGUGACGGUAACUACACAGAAAGGGACGGCUAACUACGUG